RNAcentral lists this ribosomal RNA (324 nucleotides) under uncultured eukaryote. RNAcentral describes it as "partial 18S ribosomal RNA". It matches the Rfam family "Eukaryotic small subunit ribosomal RNA", at positions 1470 to 1796 of the family's 1831-position model. The record is from RNAcentral.
CCCUUAGAUGUUCUGGGCCGCACGCGCGCUACACUGACGAAUGCAACGAGCUUAUAACCUUGGCCGAAAGGUCUGGGUAAUCUCCAAAUUUCGUCGUGAUGGGGAUAGAUUAUUGCAAUUAUUAAUCUUCAACGAGGAAUGCCUAGUAAGCGCAAGUCAUCAGCUUGCGUUGAUUACGUCCCUGCCCUUUGUACACACCGCCCGUCGCACCUACCGAUUGAAUGGUCCGGUGAAUAAUUCGGACUGCAGCACUGCUUGGUCUCCAGGCUUUGCAGCGGAAAGUUUAGUGAACCUUAUCACUUAGAGGAAGGAGAAGUCGUAACA